ACACACACACACACACACACACACACACACACCUUUUCUUUUCCGUUCAUCAGCUUUUCUAUUUGGGGACUUGCUCACUUGUUAGCUGUAGUUCCGGCUCUCUUGUUGCUGAAGCUCUUUUUCCACCAGCAGAGGACAUUUCCUCCUGAACAAAUAUAUCAGUGCAGCUCAGAUUCUGGAAGAAAAUUGCCUCACCUGGCAGAGCCCUCAUUUUGUGUGGGAACAUCAGCUUUGUGUAAAGAAGGCUGUCAUCCCUUCAACCUUUGGGUAGCUGUGACCUACUUCCUUGCUGUCUGGGCACCCACUGUAGCAGCCUUUGUAGCAUCAGUAGAAAAGGGAAGAAUUAGUCUACAGAGGAUGCCUCCAACCCUACUGGCAGGAACCUGGAAGUGACAGGAAUCUAACAGCACAUUAAAACUUCAAAACAAAGCCGUGAACUCUAGCAGUGUUUCUACCUUGAAGACAGAGCAUGGGAGAGAGAGUCAAGAAAACAAAGAUUUGGAACCAAACAGUUCAUCUUGCAGUUGUCUUAAAGGUACAAGUUCCCUGUUAUCUUUCUUUAUGGAGUUGGCAAAUGGAAUGAAGAACCUUAUGCAUGCUAGGCAAGUGUUUUACCAAGUGAUUAAUUUCACUUUCAGUGCCUUCCUUCCCGAGCCGAAGUGCUUCUGUAGAGACUAAUUCAGUGAAACCUGUUUAGGGGAUCAUCCCUGCUAGACAGACAGCUGCGAGGGGCAUCCGCUUCCCAGCAUGGAUUUCAGAUUAUGACCAAUGAGGAGCCGGAGCUAAGGAACACCUGUCAGCGAUGUUUGCUGCAAGGAGACCAGCUCUUUAAUCGAAUUUCAUUGUACUUCAGAAAAAGGUUUAUUUUAAAUGUGGCGUCUGCUUUUAUGAUUCAUUCCUCUCAGCUGAGACAUCACUUUGGGGCUUAUUUAUGAUGUUGUUCUAGGGUGAAACGAGAAACUGCAAGAAAGUAUUUCAAAAGGCGGCCUUUCCCAGACAUUCAAUUAGCAACCUUGUCAUGUGGGAAAAUAAAAAAAGCAAUGGAAAUCUUUAGUUUUUGUGUGUGAAUAUAAUUAUGAUAGGGAUCCUUCUGAACACACUUUAGAGUGUUGAAGCUGGAUAGUAAAUGCUCUCUGUGAAGUCUGGGGAACUUUCCUUAUGGAAAUCCAUCUCGCUUAUCUGUGAUGUGAGCAGAGCAAACUAUCAUUGAUGCUGAUGGAUUCUGAAAGGCCAUGCUGACUUUCAACUUGGCCCUAAUUGGAGGCCCUGCUAAGCCCCAUAAUACCAGGUACCUUCUCACAGCUGCAGACCAUGGAGUGUAACUAUCAGAAGACAAACUUCACUGUGCAAACUGUAAUUUAAUGGUAUAACUGUGUGCAGCCCAGAAUAUCAGUUAAUUUUCAAAACAUUUUAUUCUACAGCAAUUAGCUCAGGUCCUGGAGGGCAAAAUGACAAGAGGUUACUCGUUCACUAUGUAUUUAAUUAAUUGAAAAAUGCUCCAAUUGCCUUUACAGUUGUUAUUAGAGAGUGGAAUCAGUGUUGCCAGCGCUCAACCAUAAUUGGAACCCCAGGGAAUUAAAUAUUUAGCAUUAGUAAUGUAACGGCACUUAGGACACAAAUUUCUAUUUUCGUAAUGAAAGCUAUACACUGUGAGUGCAAGCGGCUGAAAGGACAGCUGUGACAAGCGAAACGGCCUGGGACAUUUCAAUAAGACACCUCAUUGGACAGCAAGUCUUACCACAUUAUGCGUUUGUAAGAGACCUGCAAGUUUAAUUCCCACAAGGAACUCGUAGCCCAAGUCUUUAGCGUCCUAAUUGCAUGCAGGAUGAACGGUUGGGCAAAUGUCUUGCCAUAAGUGGCUGAAAUUCAUCCUGCUUUCCAAACAAUCGCAUAUAAGUUCGUGCCUUUGUCAAUUUAAAAAUACUGAGACUGUCAGGAAAUAAGGAGCUUGUUUGUUUUCCAUUUAAUUAUAUUUUAAGCACACAUGCUUUCUGUGCUACAAUGAGAAAAGUUAGCUGUUGGUUCUAAUGAGCCGCAGUGUAGAUGCUGGAGACCCUGAGGGAUUCACUCUGUAAAUUAGCUGGAUAAAAAGUACUUGGUUAGGAUAUAGUUGAUGGCUGAGCUGUUCGGAGAACCAGUUAUGGUACUGUCUCUCACUGCUCUUUCAUUCUAAACAGGCCCUGUAGAGACUUUAACAGCUGCCCAUUAAAGCUGCUCAACUUGUCAAAAUGUAUUAUAUUACUCCACUAAUAAAUAGUAUUAAAGGGUAUUUGACUUCACCUCUCAUUUUCAAAGGGGAUCAGGUUGAUAAACACAACUGGCUUAAGCUGGUCUUAUUUUAAUUUGUUUAUGUCAGCUAAGUAAUAUUGAAGGGCCAUGUUUUAAAUUUGCAAACAUUACCUUCCCAGGCAGGCAAAACUUCCCAAAUAUGAUAUACAGUGGAAACAAGGAAUUGAGACACUUAUUGUAGACUGUUUCUCAUUGAAAGGUGCCUGAUUUUGACAUUGUUAGGCCACUUUAAAGAACCUGAGAGCCCUUGACUAAACUGACAACCUCAGAAAAAUAAAAGUCACAAGAUGAAUAAGUAAUGUCACAAGUUUCUGUUGAUUUUCCAUUGUUCCUGUGUCUAUUUUGGAUUAUUCAAAGUGAUCGUGAUUUUUUUUUAUCAAUUUUUAAGCAUUUUUCAAAACAAUGCAUGUUUACUUUAAAAAAAUACUUUAUUUGAUAAAGUCUUCCUUAGACCCUUUCCCAACUCUGCCUGCCUGCCUGCUAGUCUCCUUUGAUAAUAGGUUUUUUUUUUCUUUUGGUCUUGUUUUUUUGCAUGUGCAUGUGUAUAUAUGUGGUGUGCAUAUGUAUGUAUCUGUGAGUAUGAAGGCCAGAGAUUGACAGUUGACAUAAAAUGUCGUCUUAAUCACUUCCCACCAUUUUUAUUGGGGCAGGUCUCUCAGUUGAACCUGAAGCUUGAUGAUCAGCUCAUUCACCCAGCCAGCUUGCUCUGGGUAUAUAUUAUAUACAUACACAUGUUGGUCUAUGCUUAUAGAUCAUAAUGGUGCCUCAGAUCACUCACAUUUAAAAAUUUUGUUACAUUUGUUUUCAGGGAGUGGUCACAUGCCAAAGUGUAUUGGGGUGUUGAUCAGAGGACAACUUGCAGUUCUCUCUUUCUAUUAUGGAAAUCCCAGUGAUAGAACUCUGGUGUCAGGCUUGGCAACAAGCCUCCUUCCCAGAUUAGCCAUCUCACUGGCCUGAUGGGAGUGCUUUUUAUAACCAUUAGUACAUAUUGUGCAGGUACAAAAAUGUAUUUAUCUGUUGAUUGCCAAUGCCAUUCAGAGUAAUUCAGUUUUGCCAUAGGAAAUGAUACUGUGCUGAACAUCUUCCUAAGCAUUUGAGUGGGCAUGGAUGGGUACAGGGCUCUGUGCGUGUAACACAGAACUGUGAAUCAUCACGGACUGCACCAUUACUGUGUGCUGGGCAUUGUUCAAAAUAACUUUGGUAACUCGUUCCAUCUCUACCCUAAUUAAGAGUUAAGGUAUAGCCAGAUGGUGGUAGCACACACCUCUAAUCCCAGCACUCAGAAGGCAAAGGUAGGCAGAUCUCUGUCAGUUCAAGACCAGCAUGGUCCACAGAGCUAGUUCUAGGACAGCCAGGGCUACACAAAGAAACCCUGUCUCCGAAAACAGAAAAACAAACAAACAAACAAACAAAAGAGUUAAGGUGUAUUGUUAGCCUUAUUUUAUGUAAGGAAACUGAGGCUCAAAGGGGUUAAGCUCCUCAAGGCCACCAGAGUAUACUGUUAGCCAGUCUCUUGUGCCUUCCCCCAUGUUCGCACACACGUGCACACACACACACACACACACACACACACACACACACACACACACACACACACACACACAGCAGUACCUUCCUUGCAUGUGGGUUCAAUUGUGGUUUUCCAUACUUGUUGCCAUCACAUUUCUUCUGAGAACUAAACUGUUGUGUCUUUUCUCAUUUUAUUGUAGUAUGGCCCCAUUGGGCCACACAAAGAUCUUGACUGAUUAAGGCUGUCUCUUGUUUUUAACAGCUGGGGUCUGAACCUCCCAUGCUAGGCAAGUCUUCUACCACUGAGCUACAACUCCCAGCACUUUUGUUUUCUUUUGAGACAGGAUCUCACACAGUCACUCAGGCUACAACUGACUCAGCAGCUCAGAAGGCCUCAGCCUCCCAAUAGCUGGGAUUAUAGGCUGUGGUUUGGAUGUCUCUGAUACAGACAGUUCUUCUGGAAUAUUCCAUUUGUAGACUGCCUGGCCUUGUACCAUUCCAUUUUCUGUUGCUAUGAAUUUUCCUCUAAGCUCGGCAUUGGUUUCAUCGACCAGCCCUCCUGCUGCAACCUCUGUGUACAAGGCUUGGAGGUGACUGUCCUUCCUGCUGGAUUCUAGUCAUAAAGGAACUGAAGGCCAGAGGGAUUUGAGGGGCUUCUCCAGAUAAGACACCAGAAACCCCAACAUUUGAGCAACAGAUUGCAUUGUCCUGGAAGCAGUAUGCUGAAGCAUCACUAACUAUUGUUUCAAGUUGAGACACUCAGCGAUACUGAGCGAGUGCCUGAGCUCCUGGUCUUCAGACAAGUGCAUAGCUUUGCUACUCUGAAGAAAGCAGCUGCCCCAAGCCUUUUACACAGCAUGACAGUUCUGCUGGUACUGGACUGUGAAGGCUGGCCUGGGAAGGUGCUGCUUACACAACACCAGGAAACACACAUCUGUAAACCCUCAGCAUGCUCCACUGGGCAGAACGGAGGAGGCUGCUAUGAGACGAUUGCAUUCAGGUGAUCUUUCCUUCAUGCACACCAUCCAACCUUACUCGAAGAAGAUCAAGCAAAUGCACACCUACUUCCCAUCACAGACUCAGAGCUGUUGUUUGCUGUGGGGUACAGCAGAGUUCGGAAACCAUCCACUUCACAAAAUCUCCACUCCUCACCGAGAAGGCCUUCAAACCCAGAACUGUUGCAGCUAGAGCAGCACCACUCAUCUGAUUGCACAGAAACCACCAGAAGCACAUUUGAUUCUCCUAGAUUUACCUUACGCCCCUAUCUACCCAACUCGAUGCUCUUUCUCUCUCAAAGAACAGAAAGAAGAAGAAGAAGAAAAAAAACCCAGAUAACCAAAGCAAACAUACAAACAAAGCAGAUCUAAUUUUAGCACUAUGAUGAAUGGCCCAGGAAUGAAUUCCACUGCCCUCCACAAAAAGGAAGAUACAUCAGACCUGCCCAGGUGUGUGUCAUUUCCUUGUCUUGGGAGCUCUCAGCUUUCAAAUGGCAGCCUGGAUUUUUCUGGAUGGAAGCUCCAUUGUGUCUGUGUUUUGGCUUGGCACCAUCGGAAGCACUUUCAAUAAGCAGGGAGUCGCUUAACUCUCACCGCAUGCCUCCGGCAAGGAAGGUCUAUCCUACGUCUGUGGAUGGAGCGUGGUGGUGGCUAGGGAUCUGCAACUGCCCAAAGUCUCAAGGCCGAUAUGGCAGCACUAGGCGUUGUAUGAACCCAGACGCUCUGAAUCAGAGUUCCAUCAAGACCAUGCCUCCUCUGCCUUAGCAGAUCAUAGCCUGACCGCAAGAAAGGCUAGAUUCUAUGUCAAGAAAGUCUACUUUAAAAGGCUGGCAAGCAUGUGGGACAUUUUGGGAAAUGUUUCU
Non-coding RNA from Cricetulus griseus (Chinese hamster), 5656 nucleotides. Lineage: Eukaryota; Metazoa; Chordata; Mammalia; Rodentia; Cricetidae. The record is from RefSeq and is a predicted model, not a curated record.